AUUGAACGCUGGCGGCGUGCCUAACACAUGCAAGUCGAGCGGCAGCGGGCCCGCAAGGGUGCCGGCGAGCGGCGGACGGGUGAGCAAUACAUAGGAAUCUGCCUUAGAGCGGGGGAUAGCCAGGGGAAACCCUGAUUAAUACCGCAUGAUGUCGAGAGACCAAAGUGGGGGAUCGUAAGACCUCACACUCUAAGAUGAGCCUAUGUCGGAUUAGCAGUUGGCGGGGUAACGGCCCACCAAGGCGACGAUCCGUAGCUGGUCUGAGAGGACGAUCAGCCACACCGGAACUGAGACACGGUCCGGACUCCUACGGGAGGCAGCAGUGGGGAAUAUUGGGCAAUGGGCGCAAGCCUGACCCAGCGACGUCGCGUU
RNAcentral lists this ribosomal RNA (372 nucleotides) under uncultured bacterium. Its description in RNAcentral is "bacterial SSU rRNA". It matches the Rfam family "Bacterial small subunit ribosomal RNA", at positions 29 to 403 of the family's 1533-position model. The record is from RNAcentral.